CAGCCGCCGCGGUAAUACGGAGGGUGCAAGCGUUAAUCGGAAUUACUGGGCGUAAAGCGUGCGCAGGCGGUUAUAUAAGACAGAUGUGAAAUCCCCGGGCUCAACCUGGGAACUGCAUUUGUGACUGUAUAGCUAGAGUACGGCAGAGGGGGAUGGAAUUCCGCGUGUAGCAGUGAAAUGCGUAGAUAUGCGGAGGAACACCGAUGGCGAAGGCAAUCCCCUGGGCCUGUACUGACGCUCAUGCACGAAAGCGUGGGGAGCAAACAGGAUUAGAUACCCGGGUAGUCCCUGUCUCUUAUAC
Molecule: ribosomal RNA, 301 nt
Filed under: uncultured bacterium
Lineage: Bacteria
Description: partial 16S ribosomal RNA
Rfam family: Bacterial small subunit ribosomal RNA
Source: RNAcentral